ACGGCUCAGUAACACGUUGAUAAUCUGCCCUUAGGUUCAGGAUACGGUCGGGAAACUGACUUUAACACUGGAUAGAGAAUUGAUACUGGAACGUUCUUUUCUUGAAAAGCAAUGCCUAAGGAUGAGUCAGUGGCUGAUUAGGUUGUUGGUGAGGUAAUGGCUCACCAAGCCAAAGAUCAGUAGGGGGGAUGAGAGUCCUAGCCCCGAGAAGGGCACUGAGAUACUGGCCCUAGCUCUAAGGAGUGCAGCAGGCGCGAGAACUUUACAAUGCGCGAAAGCGUGAUAAGGGUAUCCCAAGUGCUUUACUUAUGUAAGGCUUUUGCCAAGUGUAAGUAGCUUGGCGAAUAAGUGGUGGGCAAGACCGGUGCCAGCCGCCGCGGUAACACCGGCGCCACAAGUGGCGACCAUUUUUAUUGGGUCUAAAGCGUCCGUAGCAGGUUCUGUAAAUCUUUUGUGAAAUUGUUGCGCUUAACGUAACAGCGUGCAAGAGAGACUGCAAAACUAGGAACCGGGAGGGGACAGAGGUAUUUUGUGGGGAGCGGUAAAAUGCUAUAAUCCACGAAGGACCACCUGUGGCGCAGGCGUCUGUCUAGAACGGGUUCGACUGUGAGGGACGAAGGCUGAGGGAGCGAUCGGGAUUAGAUACCCCAGUAGUCUCAGCAGUAAACGCUGCGAGCUAUGUGUUGCAUGUUCUUUGGGAACAUGCAGUGCCUAAGCGAAGGUGUUAAGCUCGCCACCUGGGAAGUACGGCCGCAAGACUGAAACUUAAAGGAAUUGGCGGGGGAGCAC
RNAcentral lists this ribosomal RNA (789 nucleotides) under uncultured archaeon. RNAcentral describes it as "bacterial SSU rRNA". It matches the Rfam family "Archaeal small subunit ribosomal RNA", at positions 85 to 879 of the family's 1478-position model. The record is from RNAcentral.